This 661-nucleotide ribosomal RNA is filed under the name uncultured bacterium. RNAcentral describes it as "bacterial SSU rRNA". It matches the Rfam family "Bacterial small subunit ribosomal RNA", at positions 8 to 662 of the family's 1533-position model. The record is from RNAcentral.
AGAGUUUGAUCAUGGCUCAGAUUGAACGCUGGCGGCAUGCUUAAUACAUGCAAGUCGAACGGUAACAGGUCCUUCGGGAUGCUGACGAGUGGCGGACGGGUGAGUAAUGCAUAGGAAUCUGCCCAGUAGUAGGGGACAACCUGAGGAAACUCAGGCUAAUACCGUAUAAGUCCUACGGGAGAAAGGGGGCCUCUUCUUGAAAGCUCUCGCUAUUGGAUGAGCCUAUGUCGGAUUAGCUUGUUGGCGGGGUAACGGCCUACCAAGGCGACGAUCCGUAGCUGGUCUGAGAGGACGAUCAGCCACACUGGGACUGAGACACGGCCCAGACUCCUACGGGAGGCAGCAGUAGGGAAUAUUGGACAAUGGGCGAAAGCCUGAUCCAGCAAUGCCGCGUGUGUGAAGAAGGCCUGCGGGUUGUAAAGCACUUUCAGUUGGGAAGAAAAUCUUUAGGUUAAUAUCCUAAAGUCUUGACGUUACCAACAGAAGAAGCACCGGCUAACUCUGUGCCAGCAGCCGCGGUAAUACAGAGGGUGCGAGCGUUAAUCGGAAUUACUGGGCGUAAAGCGUGCGUAGGCGGUUAAGUCAGUCGGAUGUGAAAGCCCAAGGCUUAACCUUGGAACGGCAUUCGAUACUGCUUAGCUAGAGUACAGUAGAGGGAAGC